Molecule: long non-coding RNA, 745 nt
Organism: Oncorhynchus tshawytscha (Chinook salmon)
Lineage: Eukaryota; Metazoa; Chordata; Actinopteri; Salmoniformes; Salmonidae
Source: Ensembl
GGGGGAGAGGUGUGAGAGGGGGUCAAAGACAGAAAGGGAAAGAUGAGAACAGAGGAGCAGGGAAGAAAGAGGAGGUGGGGGAGAGGUGUGAGAGGGGUCAAAGACAGAAAGGGAAAGAGAUGAGAACAGAGGAGCAGGGAAGAAAGAGGAGGUGGGGGAGAGGUGUGAGAGGGGUCAAAGACAGAAAGGGAAAGAGAUGAGAACAGAGGAGCAGGGAAGAAAGAGGAGGUGGGGGGAGAGGUGUGAGAGGGGUCAAAGACAGAAAGGGAAAGAGAUGAGAACAGAGGAGCAGGGAAGAAAGAGGAGGUGGGGGAGAGGUGUGAGAGGGGGUCAAAGACAGAAAGGGAAAGAGCAGAACAGAGCAGAACAGAGGAGCAGGGAAGAAAGCUUAUGAUUCAUGAAUCACAGUGCAACUAAACUACGUAUUCUCUCAGGUCAUCACAGUUACAUAAUAGUAUCUCUACCGGUGUCUCCUAACCAGCCUUGGGCCCCCAGUUGGGUUGUCUUUGAGCGGAUGAGGUGACGAUGACGGGACUAGGGAUUGGCAUCCUCUCUCACAGACAAUACCUGCAGAUAAGAGCGAUGGAGAGAGAGAGAGAGAUGAAUGAGUCUUGUGUGUUUUUAUUUCUAACACUAUGUCAGUCAUCACAAUCGUCAGGUGGUGAAAUACAAAACUGACCUUGGAUCAUUAACUCUGGGACUACUACAUCUGUCUGUAUUUCAAUGUUAACCAUCUCUUUAAUAA